This 421-nucleotide ribosomal RNA is filed under the name uncultured bacterium. Its description in RNAcentral is "bacterial SSU rRNA". It matches the Rfam family "Bacterial small subunit ribosomal RNA", at positions 355 to 776 of the family's 1533-position model. The record is from RNAcentral.
UAGGGAAUAUUGGUCAAUGGGGGCAACCCUGAACCAGCCAUGCCGCGUGAGGGAAGAAGGUCCUCUGGAUUGUAAACCUCUUUUGUCGGGGGAUAAAUCUGCCUAAGGGGCAGUUGAAGGUACCCGAAGAAUAAGCACCGGCUAACUCCGUGCCAGCAGCCGCGGUAAUACGGAGGGUGCAAGCGUUGUCCGGAUUUAUUGGGUUUAAAGGGUGCGUAGGCGGUUAUAUAAGUCAGUGGUGAAAGUUUGCAGCUUAACUGUAAAAUUGCCAUUGAUACUGUGUAACUUGAGUGCAGUUGAGGUGGUUGGAAUGAGUAGUGUAGCGGUGAAAUGCUUAGAUAUUACUCAGAACACCGAUUGCGAAGGCAGAUCACUAAGCUGUAACUGACGCUGAGGCACGAAAGUGUGGGGAGCAAACAGG